AUCGCUUCUCGGCCUUUUGGCUAAGAUCAAGUGUAGUAUCUGUUCUUAUCAGUUUAAUAUCUGAUACGUCCUCUAUCCGAUAAUAAUAAUAAUAAUAAUAAUAAGAGUGUCAAUUGUU
Molecule: small nuclear RNA, 118 nt
Organism: Oryctolagus cuniculus (rabbit)
Lineage: Eukaryota; Metazoa; Chordata; Mammalia; Lagomorpha; Leporidae
Gene: U2
Rfam family: U2 spliceosomal RNA
About the family: U2 is a small nuclear RNA (snRNA) component of the spliceosome (involved in pre-mRNA splicing). Complementary binding between U2 snRNA (in an area lying towards the 5' end but 3' to hairpin I) and the branchpoint sequence (BPS) of the intron results the bulging out of an unpaired adenosine, on the BPS, which initiates a nucleophilic attack at the intronic 5' splice site, thus starting the first of two transesterification reactions that mediate splicing.
Source: Ensembl